Non-coding RNA from Octopus bimaculoides (California two-spot octopus), 46 nucleotides. NCBI's taxonomy places the organism in Eukaryota, Metazoa, Mollusca, Cephalopoda, Octopoda, Octopodidae. The record is from Rfam.
AUGUACCUGAAGAGACCCAGAACGGGUCGAAACAUGUGUUGUACCU